CUCUGCUUCUUAUCAAUCUAUUUCAGAUUACAUAUGCAAACACGGCAGCAAAUAUCUCGCUACAACAGUAAUGCAAUUGCGGAUACAACUAUUUUCUUUCAGCUGCCAUUUUAAUAUCAUGAAAUAUCUUCACUUGGUUAAUACCUGUGGUUUCCAGAAGAAAAGACAUGGGCAAAAUGAAAGCAGAGAUGAUUUCUUUAUUUGAUUCCACUUUGAUACACACAAGCGCUUAUUCGUUUAAAUUUAGCAAUGUUGGAAGAAAAGCAAAAGGCAGAUCUCUGCAGGAGUGGAAGUGAAAAGAAACCUCGAUGGCUUUCGGAUUCAAGGGCAUGCUUUUCAUUACAUCCUCUUUAUUUCAUACACACAACAAUCUGUUUGAGAGGAAGACGGCAAGAUUAACACAAACAGAAUUCAGUCAGCACGACACUGACUGCUGUAAAAACAAACAUAUACAUAAGAAAAUCUAGUUAUUGUUCACCAUCAAUAUUUUACUGUAAUCUGAUUUUAUAUUCACCCAGUGCCUGUUUUAUUGUGGUACUGAGUGAAGUUUAUCACAAAAGUUGAUGAAAAGCUGUAUUUGUGCGUUUGAGGUGAAUGAUCAGCCAUUCCGGUUUUGAAUAAUCAGCUAUUCUCAACAGUCCAUCAUGGCUAUGCUAAAAGCAGAUUUUCUACAGUGGCUUAGAGUGCAGUGAUAACGCUGAAGAGUGACGGUAACCUUGAAGAGUCUCUUGAGAGUUCAGAGAAAGUCACUGAAACACAAGGCAUUGUGGGAAUGCCGAGUGGAGGCAUUCGACCAAUUAGAGGCGAUAAUCUCCUCAGGCAACCCGGACCCAAUCCCCCUCCCUUAUGGAUCUCUCUCUCUCCUUCCUUUGCUCAAUCUCUCUCUGCCUCAGUCACUCUCCCUCCCUUGACUCUUUCCAUCUCCUUCCUAUUCCAAUGCGGUUUGGCUCUUAGUCUUAAACUCUAUUAACUCUGCCUUAUUUUAUGCCUGUUCUUUACAACAGAGAGGCACAGAUUGAGAGGGGUCAAUCAGAGUUGAGCCCAUACGGCUGGGAAGGAGAAACUUUUCUAUUUCAAUUCAAAGGUCUUUGUGGAAAAGAGUUUCACUUUGAAAUGCUGAUUCAGUGGCCUCUGUAGGCCUGGAGUUAUUGAGCUCUUUUAGGACCUGCAGAACAUUAUUGAAAAUUGCAAGACGUCUUUAAAUCCUCUGGCAGGAUGUGACACGUAGGGUUAUGAUGAGUGUAAGAGAGGGACUUGGUGUUAAGGAAAAAUACACCAGCAUAGGGAAUGUUCAGGCACAUAUCGUAUUUACCUAUUCCACAGUGACAAUGGGCUCUUUCACAUAGACUUUGAUGUAAAUUGCACAGAAUUUUAUUCUGUUCAGAGCUGUGAUUGAAGUGUCUCUAUACCUCUCCAGCUAGCUAUGCUGUUCAACAGUUUAUAUUAGCAAAUUGUUUUGGGAAGUAACUAACUAAAAUUAGUAACUGCAUUUAUCAGCGACAGUACAGCAGAAUAUUUUUUAUUUUUUUAAUAUUAAAGGAAAUGCUACUGUUUAGUUAUGCAAAUUAGAUUCUAAUUUUUACUUAUAUUUAUUAAAACGUAUACUACUGUUCAAAAGUAUGGAGUCAGUAAAAUGUUUAUUAUUUGUAAUUUUUUUAUAUCUUUAUUCAGGAAGGACGCAUUAAAUUGAAAAGUGGCAGUAAAUACAUAUACUGUUUUAAAUAAAUGCAGUUUGAACUUUCUUUUCAAAGAAUUCCGGAAAAAAAAAAAAAUAAUAAUAAAAUAAAUAAUGGUUCCACAAAAAUAUUAAGCUGCACUGUCAUGCUAUGGUGAAAAACACAAAGAAGAUGAAGAUGAAUGCAAAUAGUCUUUAAUAAAUCCACACAAGGGUAAAUAUAGGACAGAACAGGCAGGAGACACACGUAGGGACCAGACAACAAACAAAACAAAACACAGCUAAUAUAGUCGAGCAAAUUAGGAUAAUUAACCAGACACACCUGAACCAAAUGAUAUAAUCUAUCAGAGAUGGAAACUAGGUCAAACAGAGCACAUGGGGGAAGAAAACACAAAACAGGUCCAUGAGAUGUGAAAGUUCACCCCCCUCUCCAAAGGCGCGACCUCGUACCACAGAGAUAAAGGGAGGGACAGAGGGGGACUUAGGAGGAGAAUAAAGGAGUGGAUGUGGGAUGGUGACAGGGGAUGGCAAAGGGCCUGCAGGAAGACAGACAGGAGGUGGUUCAGGAGGUGGCCGGAUAACUGGGAGGUGGACGACCAACAGAGUCCAGGGCAGACCAGAUGGAGGGAGGAGCCAGGGAGAAGACAGACGGGACAAGGGUGGAUCCGAUGGAGGGAGGAGCCAGGGAGAAGACAGAAGGGAGCCAGAGGAGCCAGGCAGGACCCAGAUCACAGCCAUGAUGGCGACCCACAGUGGAGCCAACGGAGGGAGGAGCCAUGGUGGAGGAAAGGCUGACGACUCCAGGGGGCCGACCAACAGUGUCAGAGCCCGAGGUGGAGACAGAGAGCCAGGGCGACGGGUAGGAUCCGGAGGGCCAAGGCAGAGCAGAUGGCUCCGGUAACUGAGGAAAAGGUAGGGAUCCGGAAGGACGAGGUAGAGCCAGAGCGACAGAGGACCAAGGUGUAGCAGGAGGGAAGGAGUCUGACAGAGCCAGUGGGACAGAGGGAAGUGGUGUAGCCAGAGGAGUGGAGUCUGGGACUCAGAGGCGGAGACAAGGGAUCUUCCAGCCAUGACGCCGAUGGAGACUGGCAGACCCGUGGCGAUCCCACUACACAGAUUGUGGGCUGAGGGUGAGCUGAGGGGCCACCAGGAGACAGCAGUGGCAAUGGUGAAGACUGAUAUAGAGGAGGUGGGAAAGGGGGGCUGGGCAGGAGUUCCGAAUGUUCAGGAACGGUGUGUGCUGCCCACACACACACACACUCACACCACAAGGCCACUCCCAGCACCGGGAGCGUCAGUGACAGGGGAAUGGCCUCCAUGGUAAUUUCAGGACAGAUAGACAGUUUGGGAUGGACAGACAGAUAGGACACUCUCCAGACACCGAAACAUGACCUCCCUCCAGUUCAGUCCAGUGGUGUCUGGGAGGUCCACGGGGUGAGGGUAAUUUGUCAUUUUACGGGGACGUGACGCCAAGACGGGCAAAUCUAGGUGAAACGAAACUAGAAAGUGGCUCUCCGCCCAAUCCAUAACAAAAAAGACAAAAAAAAAAAAAUAAAAAAAUAAUAAAAUAACAAAAAAAAAAAAAAUGCAGGGAAAAGGCACCGCUUACUAUUUAUCUUCUAGGUCCUGUCUUCUGUCACGUUACUGUAAGAUAAAUGAACAAAGAAGAUGAUGAAUGUAAAUAGUCUUCAAUAACUCCACAAGGGUAAAUCCAGGACAGAACAGGCACAAGGGGCACAUGUAGAGACGUAGUGGACGGACGACAAACAGAGAACAGAACACAACUAAUAUAGUGGAGCAAAUGAGGAUAAUUAACCAGACACACCUGAAGCAAAUGACAUAAUCAAACGGAGACAGAAACUAGGUCAAACAGAGCACAUGGGGGAAGAAAACACAACAAAACAUGAGGUAUGACAUGCACAAAUGUUUUCAACCUAAUAAUAAGAAGAAAUGUUUCUUGAGCAGCAAAACAGCAUAUAUAUAUUGUCUUACUUUUUGCUGUAUUCAAAUAAAUUCAAGCCUUGGUGAGAAUUUAAAAAUAAAAUAAUAUAAAUAUUACAGACCCCCAAACUUUUAAUCAGGAGAAAAUCAAUGUUUGAUAUGUUUACUCUCAUUUUACAUUCAAUCAGUAACCUGAUUAACUAAUUAAUCAGCUGUAUACAUGUCUUUUUUUGACCAUAUAAUGCAAGUCAAUUGUUACCAAAACUCUUUGGCUACUACUGAUCUUCUAAACCUUGUGUCCGGCAGAAGAAGGAAAGUAAUACAGGUUUAUAACAAAAUGAGGUUGAUAAAAGAUCACAGAAUUUUCAUUUUGGGGGGAUUUUUCUACCCUUUUAAGUAGCUUCUAUCAGUCUACUUAUAGCUUGCCAUCUUUUAUAGAGUACAUUGACGGUAGUUUGACUACUUUAAAUGUGUCUUACCUUGGCAAGAUAGCUUCAAAAUAGCUUUCCCAACAUAUAAAGUCAAGCCAAAAUUUAUUCAGAAACCUUCAACAUUUCUCAUAUUAUCACAGUUUAUUCACUAUUGUUUAGAAAAUGGUUAUAAAAUAUGACAAAAACUGAGAGUUAAACUGUAUCAGAAAAAAAAAAUCAUCUCGAUAAUGUCAGAUAACUUUGAUAGAAAGGUAUGUAAUGGAUUACUAUCAACCAAAAAUUAUUCAGACGACUGUUAGUAUGACAAUAUUUACACAACUAUCAAUACUUUGUUGGGCCACCCUUAGCAACCUCAGUUACCACUUUUCCACUGGGGCUGGUGCCAGUACUUGAACCGGUGCUCAGCCAAGUUUGGCACUCAUUCAGAACCGGCUCACGUUUCCACUGGCAGUGAGCAGAACCUAAGUCACCAACCUACGUGACCAGAAUUAUUUGUUAUCUCUUGCAGAAUAAGAGCGUUGAUCUCUUCUGCUGACCACUGCUAAACUGACAUAUUUAAUUGUUGUUGUGAAUUUUGUUAAUUUACCUGAACUCCAACAGCUUUUAAAUAUAGGCUUAUUUGAGAUGCAUCGGCACCACACACCACACAUAUGCAUCGGUAUAUGACAUCAAAGUACCGCAAGAGCAAUUCAAAAGCAUAAAGAGUCGUCUGCUUUCCAAUUGCUCUGGCGGUACUUUGAUUAUUAUGCAGAUUGGUCUGCACAGCGCCGAUGCAUCUCAAACAAUCCUAAUGGCUCCUUUCAAACUUCAGUCUGUAGUAGAAGCUGACAUCAUAGGUUCCCUUGUUCGAGACCAGCAAGGUUUCGGGGCCAGUUCGGAACCAGGAUCUGGGCACUGGCCCAGGAUUAUUUUGGGGUGGAAAAGCCCAGCCAAGUUCCCAAUUAGGCUCCGGCUCCAGCACCAGCCCCUGGUGGAAAAGCGAUAAAUGACAGCCUGUAGUCUCCUGGGCAUGCUGUCAGCCAGGUUCAUGCAAACCUGAACUUCAAUAUUUUCCCAGACUCACUGCAGCAGAUUCUUUAUUUCCUGUUGUUUUUUUGGCACUUCAUCCAGGCGGCACCGUUCCAUCACCUCCCAGAGAUGCUCAGUCAGGUUUAGAUCUGGACUUAGUGGUGGGCAGUUUAGUACUUUAAUCCUCUUCUGCUUAAAGAAAUCACCAACCUUCUUUGCAGUGUGGUUGGGGCCGUUAUCACACUAAAAGAUGUAACAACGCCCCAUGAGCUUCCAGGCUGAUGGCAGCAUCUGACUCUGGACAAUUUCCACAUACAUUUCCGAGUUCAUAAUUUUCAUCAAUGAAAUGUAGUUUACCUUGUCCACUAGCUGCCAUACACCCCCACACCAUCACAUUGUCCCCACCGUGCUUUACAGUAGGGGUGAGACACUGGGGUUCUCCACAUUUUAGUUUUGCCAUCACAGCCAAACAAAUUAAAUUUGCUCUCAUCACUCCAAAGAAUUGACUUCCAAAAUUCUGCAGACUUGUUGAUAUGUUCUUUAGCAACCUGGAGGCAUUUUAUUUGAUUUCAAAGGUUUCUUCUGGGGUCAUUCAGCCUGUUGCGAAUGGUUUGAGCACACAGCUCUGUGUAAGUGGCCUUUUUGACUUCAGCAGAAAUUAUUUUAGCAGAAUUUUUUUCUAUUUUUCAAUGCUAACUGUUUUAUAAGUCUGUCUGUUCUGGGUGUUGUCUUUUUCUUUCUUCCACGACCAGGCAAAUUCUUCACCUCACCAGUCUCUCUAAAUUUCUUCACAAUGGAAAAGACUUUCCCUUUAGGGAUAUCUAAUCAUUUUGCUAUAUUUCUGAUUGAAAUGCCCUCCUCAUAGAAUUUGACUACCUUUCGUCUCAAAUCAGUUGCUAUUUCAUUGGUUUUGGCCAUCCUUUUGUUAGACUGUCUCACAAAUGAAUUAGGAUGAAUAGCAGUCAGCAGUUGAAUUAAAGUACACAAUUAGAUCAUACCAAUAAGUCGACCAAUUACCAAGCAAUGCUUAACGUUGUUCAGUCUGUGGUGUAAAAGGUCACAUUAGCUAUUAAAGAAAAAACACUUAAGCAAAACAUGGUUAGGUCAAAGUGUCUGAAUAAUUUUUGGUCCCAAAUUUGUUGGGUAGUCCACUGUAUGAAGAAUUUUUGGGUAUAAUAUGUUGCAGUUUACUUUAUUUUGCUAUCCUCACUUAACAAAAAUGAACUACAGUUUCCUGUACCCACUAGUAAACAAGUAUCAAAAAAUGAUAUCUGGUGACUGAAUAAUUUUUGGUUUGAAUGUACAUUUCUUGAAGAGACAUUAUGAAUUUAUGCUUUCACAUACUUCUCCAUGGACAGAAAAACACAAAGGUUUGCUUUCUUCUUCCAAAGCCCUGUCUUCCCCCAUGACUUGUGGCACACUGGAGCAGGAUUUUCUUACUGAAAUAAAGAAGAAAAAUGCUUGAAUAUGAAAAUACAGUCUGUCAUCCCAUGUGAUGUAGCCUCUAGUACAAUUUUUAAACAACAAUAAUAAACAAAUGUCUUGGAUAUGGUAUGUAGCAAUACAUCACUCAGACAGUAAUUGAACCAGCUAUGUAUUACUUACAUGUAAGUUAACAACACGGGGGUGUAGUGCUGUGGGUGUCAGUAUGUGUUUAUAUGCAGAGUCAUUACGGGUGACUUAUGUGUUGCUUGUGCAAGCAGAACUCAUUUUGUAGAAAACAUUAUGUCCUUCUUUCUGCUGAUGGAGAGUUUGGCCCUGCAGCUCCAUUCAUUCUGCUCCAGUAGCGCUGGGCUUCAUGUACUGCGUGGUAAGAUCAAGAAGAAGGAACUGCUUUUGAGUUUGGUUUGAUCAUGGAUCACCUCCGGGAAGAUCAGUACAUAAAUAACAACCAGUGAGAAAGACCCUCAUAGGCCCUGUAGUUCGAUUACAGCUUCACUCUUUCUCUUUUUCACUGGUUAGGUAACUAUCACAGUCUCUUGUAUCACAAGGCUUGUAUAAAUACUCAAAGUGUGAAAGAAAAGUGACAUUUUCAAAGCGAACAGGUGCCGAACGUGGCCUUUCAUUGCUUGUCUGUUCUCAGGAAGCUUCGAAGGCUUUCAGAUUUAUUGACAUUGCUCUCUUUCCCUGCUUGUACAUGUUGUUCUUAUGGGUUUGGAGUCUUUCCAUCAGUCUGGUGUAGUGUUUAUUUGUGCGCUGCAGGCCACCGGUGGAACACAAUAACACGCCGCGCAUCCUAGCGUGGGAGCAGCCAGUAUCUGUUAGGCUAGACAAUUGACUAAUACCUUUGUCUCAUUAUGGACUUGUUGUGUAAGCCAUGCAACGUGGUGCGAGGCUUGGCCAUGCGUUUCCAUCCGCAAACGUGGGCAUUCAACUGACCCGACGGUGAAUAUUAAACACUCAUAAGAAUAGUAGUGUACUGAUAUGGAUAAAAACGAGGCAGUCCAGUUGUUUUCUAGGGUAAGGAAAAAUUUGACUGUCCUCAGUUAAAGGGCAUAAGUUGGAACAUGCACAUACUUGUGAAAAAUAAGUACAUUUUAGUAUACUUAUACUUAGUAUGGAUAUAAUCAGGAGCAUUUCUAGUUUUGGAUACUGUUUUGGAUAUAAAUUGAUGUAAACUGUCUUUACUUGCAGUAUAGAUUCCUUCACCAGCUGCAUCUGCAAGAAAGAGCUGCUUUGUUGUUUAUCAAUUGUGACCCUGGACCACAAAAGUCGCUGUGGUAUAUUUUUAGCAAUAGCCAAUAGAACAUUAUAUGUAAAUAUCGCUUUUUCUUUUAUGCCAAAAAUCAUUAGGAUUUUAAGUAAAGAUUAUGUUCCAUGAAGAUAUUUUGUAAAUUUCCUACCAUAAAUAUAUCAAAACUUAAUUUUUGUUUAGUAAUAUGCAUUGCUAAGAAUUCAUUUGGACAACUUCAAAGGCGAUUUUAAUCUCACAUAUUUAAAUAUAUUUAUAAUUACACAUUUGUAAUGAUAAAGUUGCAUUUUAGUACAUUUAAUUGUAUACCUUUAUGUAUACCUUUAUGUAUACCUUUCAUUGUUAUACCACAUACCACACUACAAUUAAAAUUAUUGUCAUACUGUACAUUGCUUGUUAGUCAAUGCAUCAGAAUAGGUGUAAGUACAUUACAACUGCAUGUUCAGUACAUCUAAGCACACUUCUUUUUCACAAGGGCAUCCUUUCUUCAGUGGAACUGUUUUUGGCGUGGCAAGCAGGGACAGAUGCCACAUGGCCCGACAAUCUGACAUUGUACUAAAACAACAGCUGCAUCAUGGUACCCUUGGGAUUUGACACUAACCUUGAAAGAUAUCCCUUACUAUCCCAGAGUCUCCUCCUGUACGGUAGCUUGUUGGUGAUCGCCCAAAAACUGCAUCUGCACAGUAGCGCACAUCAAAACACCACAGCGGUAGCAAAGCAGCAGAACAGCCUGUGGGUUUGGCAAGGCCUGUCUGACCAACUCACUUCAGCCCGCCUUUUAUCCGGCCGUUUACUGUAAACACACAAACACAAACAGAGCGGAGCUCGGCUUCAGUGGGAAUGGGUAAUGAUGCUGGUGUGUGUAUGGACUGCUGUCAGCGAUGAGCGGCAGAUCGCACAGCAUAGCCAAAGUAUCCUCAUAGGAAACACUGCUCAGAUCUUAGGCCCUAAUGCCUCGUACUGGAUCAUGAAGCGUGCGAAGGAACGCCAAGCAGCCUCUGCAGAGAGCUAUUCUGGAGAAAACCAAAUCGUGUUUAUGCCGGCAUGCUGUGUUGAGCUGUAUCAACUCAUCUAUUUAUAUAAACAACUUUUCUGGGAGUCAACUAUGAAAGAGUUUAUAGUCAGCUGUAACAGAGCACUGGUUUUUGACUUUCUGCUGCAUCUGCUUUUGGUAUGUCAGGGACAAUUGACAAACAGCAGGUCAUUAUAAACCAAAAUAAACCCCAAAAUGCACAUCAGAGUUCAGAUACGAGGUGGAGGUUAUCAUUUGUUAUCAGCUGUAAUUGCUGUCAAAUAUAGCUUCUCUUUGUUUAGUUUAAUCAAUAGUUGCCUCAUUUUAACCUUCCGAGACAUACUGGAAACUGGAAAGAAUGCAAUAUGAUUUACACAAUAUAAAAAUACUGCUAAUGCAAAGUUUUUUUUUUAAUUCCUGAAGAAGUCAUUUGGUAAAUUUAGUUCAUUUACCAUGUGUGAAAGUCACAGAGGUAGGCAGGUAAAAAAAAAAAAAAAAAAACAUGUCAUGAAUGCCAAAGAUAUAAACAGAAAUGAAGAUUUGCAACAGUAAUAUACAAGCAGGGCUUUUUUAAAUGUUUUCUUUCUUUCUUUCUUUCUUUCUUUUGUUUGUUUGUUUGUUUAUUUAUUCAUUUAUUUAUUUAUGUAAGUCAUAAUGGAAGUCUAAGGAAGUAGUGUGUAUUUUAAUAGUUUUAAAUUAAAUGUAUUUUUCCCCGAAAAUAUGGUAACAUCUAUCUAUCUAUCUAUCUAUCUAUCUAUCUAUCUAUCUAUCUAUCUAUCUAUCUAUCUAUCUAUCUAUCUAUCUAUCUUGCAUCUGCUUUUGAUAUGUACAGAGCAGUGCUGUCAUUGUUCUAAAACUAUCUAAACUAAAACUUUUUUUAAAACAACAAUUGAAAUGAAGCUGAAAUACUGUAAAAUAUAGAUAUUGGAACUUAAAAAAAACAAAAACUAUA
Cyprinus carpio carpio is the source of this 9711-nucleotide long non-coding RNA. The record is from Ensembl. NCBI's taxonomy places the organism in Eukaryota, Metazoa, Chordata, Actinopteri, Cypriniformes, Cyprinidae.